This 445-nucleotide ribosomal RNA is filed under the name Necator americanus (New World hookworm). RNAcentral's name for it is "partial small subunit ribosomal RNA". The record is from RNAcentral. Lineage: Eukaryota; Metazoa; Nematoda; Chromadorea; Rhabditida; Ancylostomatidae.
CUAUUGCAGUUGUUUUAUUGGUUAAUUUUUGUAGGUCUUAGGUUAAAUUUUGAUUUUUUUUUAAUGUAUAACUGUAAUUGUAAGUUUUGUUAAACGAAUUAAAUUAGUACCUAAUUAGUCAAAUGUUAAGAUAGCAGGAGUAAAGUUGGAUUUAAACUGAAAGAAUAUUGGCAGAUUUUCUAAAUUAUCUUUGGAGGUUGAGUGAUAAUUGAGAACCCUCAUUAACUACUAUUGUUUUUGUCUCAUGUAUGAUCGUUUAUUUUAUACUUAAGGUUUAUAAUAAAAGAUUUUUUUCUUUUAAAAUAGAUAUAUAUUUGGUUUAUGCAGUAGUUAUAUUUGACCUACAAUAAUUAAUGUUGUGGAUUUAUUUUUUUGUACAAAAUAAUGAAAAUGUAAAAGACAGUAAAAAAGUUUUUAUGACUUUUUGAAAAUUAUUUAAAUGUGG